RNAcentral lists this ribosomal RNA (1341 nucleotides) under uncultured bacterium. Its description in RNAcentral is "partial 16S ribosomal RNA". It matches the Rfam family "Bacterial small subunit ribosomal RNA", at positions 28 to 1381 of the family's 1533-position model. The record is from RNAcentral.
GACGAACUCUGGCGGCGUGCUUAACACAUGCAAGUCGAACGGUAAGGCUCCAGCUUGCUGGGGUACACGAGUGGCGAACGGGUGAGUAACACGUGGGUGACCUGCCCUGCACUUCGGGAUAAGCCUGGGAAACUGGGUCUAAUACCGGAUAGGACCGCACCGUGAGGGUGUGGUGGAAAGUUUUUUCGGUGUGGGAUGGGCCCGCGGCCUAUCAGCUUGUUGGUGGGGUAAUGGCCUACCAAGGCGGCGACGGGUAGCCGGCCUGAGAGGGUGGACGGCCACAUUGGGACUGAGACACGGCCCAGACUCCUACGGGAGGCAGCAGUGGGGAAUAUUGCACAAUGGGCGGAAGCCUGAUGCAGCGACGCCGCGUGGGGGGUGACGGCCUUCGGGUUGUAAACUCCUUUCACCAUCGACGAAGGGUUUCUGACGGUAGAUGGAGAAGAAGCACCGGCUAACUACGUGCCAGCAGCCGCGGUAAUACGUAGGGUGCGAGCGUUGUCCGGAAUUACUGGGCGUAAAGAGCUCGUAGGUGGUUUGUCGCGUCGUCUGUGAAAUUCCGGGGCUUAACUCCGGGCGUGCAGGCGAUACGGGCAUAACUUGAGUACUGUAGGGGAGACUGGAAUUCCUGGUGUAGCGGUGAAAUGCGCAGAUAUCAGGAGGAACACCGGUGGCGAAGGCGGGUCUCUGGGCAGUAACUGACGCUGAGGAGCGAAAGCAUGGGGAGCGAACAGGAUUAGAUACCCUGGUAGUCCAUGCCGUAAACGGUGGGCGCUAGGUGUGGGUUUCCUUCCACGGGAUCCGUGCCGUAGCUAACGCAUUAAGCGCCCCGCCUGGGGAGUACGGCCGCAAGGCUAAAACUCAAAGGAAUUGACGGGGGCCCGCACAAGCGGCGGAGCAUGUGGAUUAAUUCGAUGCAACGCGAAGAACCUUACCUGGGCUUGACAUAUACAGGAUCGCGCCAGAGAUGGUGUUUCCCUUGUGGCUUGUAUACAGGUGGUGCAUGGUUGUCGUCAGCUCGUGUCGUGAGAUGUUGGGUUAAGUCCCGCAACGAGCGCAACCCUUGUCUUAUGUUGCCAGCACGUUGUGGUGGGGACUCGUAAGAAACUGCCGGGGUUAACUCGGAGGAAGGUGGGGAUGACGUCAAAUCAUCAUGCCCCUUAUGUCCAGGGCUUCACACAUGCUACAAUGGUCGGUACAGUGGGUUGCCAGUCCGUGAGGGCGAGCUAAUCCCGCAAAGCCGGUCUCAGUUCGGAUCGGGGUCUGCAACUCGACCCCGUGAAGUCGGAGUCGCUAGUAAUCGCAGAUCAGCAACGCUGCGGUGAAUACGUUCCCGGGCCU